RNAcentral lists this transfer RNA (77 nucleotides) under Bacillota bacterium. Its description in RNAcentral is "tRNA-Arg". It matches the Rfam family "tRNA". Rfam says of the family: Transfer RNA (tRNA) molecules are approximately 80 nucleotides in length. Their secondary structure includes four short double-helical elements and three loops (D, anti-codon, and T loops). Lineage: Bacteria; Bacillati; Bacillota. RNAcentral also lists the same sequence under 1 other name. The record is from RNAcentral.
GCGCCCGUAGCUCAACCGGAUAGAGCAGGGGACUCCUAAGCCCAAGGUUGCUGGUUCGAUUCCAGUCGGGCGCACCA